Molecule: long non-coding RNA, 518 nt
Filed under: Malus domestica (apple)
Lineage: Eukaryota; Viridiplantae; Streptophyta; Magnoliopsida; Rosales; Rosaceae
Description: long non-coding RNA (MDOM_LNC002437)
Source: RNAcentral
AGCCCAAUGAUGCCAACUAAAAUGGGACUUGCCCGAAGCCCAAUACCAAGCCCAAAGGCAAAGUGAAGUCUUCUCAGCCAAAAUGCAAGCCACGUCCUUAUUAUUGAAGUAACAAGUGAUGAAGCCUAACCUACUACCAGCCAAAGAACACUUUCUAGUGGUAUUCCAAGUAAAAAGCUGAUGACUCACUACUCUCCAAGUGUUUUCGGGCAAGAACAAAGUUACAGCAAUUGGGCUAAUUUGCCUAUAAAAUGAAGAAGAGGCCCCAGAGAUAAGGACACUCAACCAAUCAAACAAACAAAUAUACAAACUCUGCUCUCAAGCUAGAUUUGCAUUCAAAAGCUAAAAUCAACCUAGAUUCAGUUAUUUUUAGCGACAAGCUAUCUCUUAUCCAAUUUACAGCUCUGAUAUCUCCCUUAGUGGCAUAGUAUCGAUUCCCUUGUGUAAACUUGUUUACCAUCCAUCCCUUUUUAGCAUAUAAACCCCUGUUAAUUCAAAGAGAAGUGAUUGCAAGAGGU